Homo sapiens (human) is the source of this 1693-nucleotide long non-coding RNA. The record is from Ensembl. NCBI's taxonomy places the organism in Eukaryota, Metazoa, Chordata, Mammalia, Primates, Hominidae.
AUCUCCUGCUCCCUGUCCUGCACUGCAAAGGAGGCCUUUUCAUCCUCUCUACUGCCUCCAAUUUUUCUCACGAGGAAUGUGAGAGGAAAACCUAGAGCUUGUUCCUGAAGCAUGGUGCUAAGUCCAUAUGCAGCAGAUGGAGCUCAUGAGAAAAGAGUUGCUCUUGUGAAGACCAAAGCUUGGUGAGGUGUCAGAUCCCCGGCGAUGGAAAGCAGUCAACUCAUGGGUAGUAAAAAGAAUGUAUUGACAACACUAUAGGUUUGAAAAGGAAAGUUUUAUUAGAUGGAAAGAACAGUGCAGAAGACCGCAGCAGAGGACCUCAGCAAGAGAGAACUAAGUAUAUCAUGGUGGAUUUUUCCUAAGGGUUUGUCAGUUUCAAAUACUCAUGUAUCUGAUUGUCAAUGCUGGAGAGCUGGGGCCAGGGCAGUAGUUGAUGAAUAUCACCUGACUGUCUCCUGCAGAAAAAGCAUUCCCAGAAGCACGGAGAAGUGAGGAGAAAAGGCAAUGCACCUGGAGCUGGAGACCAAGGCCCUGUUCUUACUGAUGGCCCUUGGAGCAGAUAUUUGAAUUGGAGAGAUAAAACCGUGGUUUUUGGGGUGUUAAUUUUGGUGGCUGAUGCAUUCUGUGAUUGAUUUGGCUAUUACAACUGGUAUUGAUUUUAAACACAUUAAUUGCAAAAUCUCAAUUGUGAUUUGAUUUCUGUAUUUACAAUACUAAAAACGAGGCUUUCGCCAGGAGAAGACAAUUGGCAGUACUCAGUUGGAAGUGCUUAAUUGUUAAUAUAUAUCAGCCGUGGUUCUUCAGCGUCGUCAGUGUUGCUCAGUCUUGCUCUUUGUGGCGACUACUGAAUGCUUGAAAAAUUCUCUCCUAUACUCCCACUCUGCACUGUAGAAGAGAAAGAGAGGAGAGUGGAAGAAAAAAGAGAGGGAGAGGAGAAAGAAAGAGAGGAGAGAGAAACAUGGGCAUGGAUGAUACAUAAGGUAGUUGUAAACUGUGAUCAGCUUUGAUAAUAACUAGAUAAAUUCUUUUAAUACAAAAAUAUAUAAGGCAUUUUGCCUUUUUUUCAAAUUUCAAAUAAAUGGAUUUGUAUAGAAUGUAGUCUGUUGCCCAGAGUUUUCAUUUAGCAUAAUGCAUUUGAGAUUUAUCCAUGUUGUUGUAUAUUCUUUUUAUUGCUGAGUAGUAUUCCAUUGUGUGGAUAUACCAGUUUGUUUAUCCAUUAACCUUUGAUGGAUAUUUGGGUUUUUUUCAAUAUGAGGCUCUUAUAAAUAAACCUUCUGUAAUCAGGUCUUUGUGUAGUCACACAGUUUGUUUGUUUGUUUGUUUUUUAAAAAGAUGUUAGUAUUGUAAUUGUGUUUAAUAAGAAACUGUUCAGUAUUUCUGCAUGUCUACCAAAAAUACAUGAAAUGUUAGUUGCUUCUUUUAAAAUACUUGGUAUGUUUUUGCUUUUUUAUUUUAGCAACUUAAUAUGUGUGUAUUAUAACCUCAUUGUGGUUUUAAAUUACAUUUUCCUCAGUAACUAAUAAUGCUGAGCAUCUUUUAAUGUAUUUAAUGGUCAUUCAUAUAUCUCCUCAUGAAAUGUCUGUUAAAAUUGUAUGCUCAUUUAGAAAAAUCAGGAUGAUUGUCUUGUUGAGCUUUGAAAGCUCUUUGCAUAUUAUGAAUACAAGUUCUUUAUUAGACAUACAUUUUACAAACA